UGUCGGCUUAAGUGCCAUACGAGCGCAACCUCAUCAUUAGUUACCAUCAGGUAAGGCUGGGACUCUAAUGAGACUGCCAUCGUAAGAUGUGAGGAAGGUGGGGAUGACGUCAAAUCAGCACGGCCCUUACGUCCGGGGCGACACACGUGUUACAAUGGGUGGUACAAAGGGCAGCUACCUGGCGACAGGAUGCUAAUCUCGAAAACCGCUCUCAGUUCGGAUCGGAGUCUGCAACUCGACUCCGUGAAGCUGGAUUCGCUAGUAAUCGCGCAUCAGCCACGGCGCGGUGAAUACGUUCCCGGGCCUU
Molecule: ribosomal RNA, 307 nt
Filed under: uncultured Proteiniphilum sp.
Lineage: Bacteria; Pseudomonadati; Bacteroidota; Bacteroidia; Bacteroidales; Dysgonomonadaceae
Description: bacterial SSU rRNA
Rfam family: Bacterial small subunit ribosomal RNA
Source: RNAcentral